Long non-coding RNA from Homo sapiens (human), 863 nucleotides. Ensembl annotates it as cancer susceptibility 19. Its record names the gene CASC19. Lineage: Eukaryota; Metazoa; Chordata; Mammalia; Primates; Hominidae. The record is from Ensembl.
AGAAACACUAUCACCUACGCAUACCUCUGCUUCUUUUCAUUAACCUGCUAUCCUCUUUACAAAUGGGAUUCUUCACCCACUCCCUUCUUCUAGAUUAGCAAUGCCCUGUUAAGUAAACGAACACGAAAUUCAAAGGGAAACAGGAGCAAUCAUCAUUACCAGCUGCCGUGUUAAGCAUUGCGAAAACGCUCACGAUUCACAGAAAAAUCCAUGCUGUUCUUUGAAGGCAUUCAAGCCUUAAUAGCUAGCUGGAUGAAUGUUUAACUUCUAGGCCAGGCACUACUCUGUCCCAACAAUAAGCCCUGUACAUUGGGAAAGGUGCCGAGACAUGAACUUUGGUCUUCUCUGCAAUCCAUCUGGAGCAUUCACUGACAACAUCGACUUUGAAGUUGCACUGACCUGGCCAGCCCUGCCACUUACCAGGUUGGAUUGCAAACUCCUAGAGAAGGGCUCAACAGUGAGUGCUGAGGCUGCACAGAGGAGGAAGGCAGCACAAUGAUGGAAGGCUUCCUAAAGAGGCAUGCUUCUGAUGUGAGUUCAGGAGAAGACACUGGCAAGGACAGCAAAGAACAGGAGAACACUCUAGCUUCCCUGAUAGCAUUCAAGGUGCUGUCCAAACUGACUGUGAUGGCACCCUCCAGACAGACAGCGAUGCCACAUGUUCAAGAUGGCAGAAUCACUAUCAGCUUCAAUUCCUGAAUGACUGCAGAGCAAAAUUUCUUACCUGCAACAUACACUCUAUUUUCAGCCUCCCUGGACUGUUACAUAAUGAUACAUAAAAAUAUUUCUUGUGUUGAGGCAUCCCAAAUUUGAUUUAUUUGUCAUCACAGUCUAUCCUAUGAAUAUAUUUCUGAUCCAAAUAA